Lepidothrix coronata (blue-crowned manakin) is the source of this 3847-nucleotide RNA transcript. It is a transcript of the gene named low density lipoprotein receptor adaptor protein 1, with no coding region annotated. Lineage: Eukaryota; Metazoa; Chordata; Aves; Passeriformes; Pipridae. The transcript is spliced from 11 exons. The record is from RefSeq and is a predicted model, not a curated record.
CCGGGCCGGGAGGCGCCGGGAUGGACGCGCUGAAGUCGGCGGGUCGUGCCCUGCUGCGGAGCCCCAGCGUCCACAAACCCUCCUGGGCCGGCGGCCGGCACAAGAAGCUCCCAGAGAACUGGACUGACACCCGCGAGACGCUGCUGGAGGGGAUGCUCUUCAGCCUCAAGUACAUGGGGAUGACACUGGUGGAGCAGCCCAAGGGAGAGGAGCUCUCUGCAGCUGCUGUCAAAAGGAUUGUGGCCACUGCGAAAGCAAGUGGGAAGAAGCUGCAGAAAGUGACUCUGAAAGUCUCUCCCCGGGGGAUCGUGUUGAACGACAGCAGCACGAACGAGCUGAUCGAGAACAUCUCCAUAUACAGGAUAUCCUACUGCACGGCAGACAAGAUCCACGAUAAAGUGUUUGCCUACAUUGCCCAGAACCAGCUCAAUGAGAACCUGGAGUGCCAUGCCUUCCUCUGUACCAAACGGAAAAUGGCACAGGCCGUCACCCUCACCGUGGCACAGGCCUUCAAAAUUGCCUUUGAGCUCUGGCAAGCAGCUAAGGAAGAGAAGGAAAAGCGGGAAAGGUCCAUCUUGGAAGGAGAAGGGACGAGCAGCCCCAGCUCAGAAGCCCCUGCCCGCCCUGACACACCAGCAGCCACGGGGAACUUGCUGGAUUUUGAAGAUCCUGCCAAAUCACCCCUGAGCAGCAGCACAGACCCCCCCCACUUGGAUAACAGCGUGUUUGGGCCCAGCUCCUCUGUGAACAACAACGUGGUGUGGGAAAUGGAUGAUGGUCUCGACGAGGCGUUUUCAAGGUUGGCUCAGUCAAGAACAAACCCUCACGUCCUCGACACGGGGCUGACAGCUCAGGACAUCCAGAGUGCAGAAACGCUCUCCCCUGUAGACUGGAACAAAAUAGAUUCCACCACAGGCGAGAAGGAUGAUCUGUUCAUGUUCUGAGGUCAAAUGCAUCUAAGAGCUGACUAGAGAAUAACCACUAAAAGUCUCUGGACUGGAUCGUGCUGUUGCAGGUGCUGUACACAAGGGACUCUUCUAAGGGCUCUUCUCCAGGUCAGGUGAUGUUACAGCACAGUUUAGACCAAAGCUUUAGAAACCUGAUGCAGAUUUUUAUACCUUGUUUUUAUCUAAACCACGAGAUGCUCUUGAACAUAUUUAUUCCCAGCCGUUACCGUUUACAUGUGUUAUUGGAAGGCGUGGAGAGCAUCUACAGUGUUACGUGGCAAUAAUACCAUGGGAGAACCUUCAGCAGUGCCUGUUGCUCUCUGAAAACAGACUGUGCACCACCAAAGUCCCUCUGUGUGUAUCCUCUAGACAAAGGUCUGCAGAUGCAAAUGCAAUUCCAAGCACAACUGUUACUAAUCCACUGAUUCUUGAACAACACGUCACCUGCCUGGGCGAGGGGAGGAGAUUUGCAGCAGCUGCUGACAGUGUUAAAUCAAAGAGGUGGCAGAGAUCUUGCUUUUGUAUGAAUGUCUGUGACACUCUCACAGUUGUCAAUCACCCCUGCGGGUUCUGGCCAUUUCUUCACCAGCUCCAUGUGGGAAUUGACACUUUUUUUACCCAAAGACUCUGCGAAGUUUUGCACUUUAAAACUUGAACUGAAAGCAAUGGUCCGAGUUGUCGAGGUAAGCAGUGCCUGUAUUUUCUCUUCAGAAGCUAUUUACCCAAAAAUAACCCAACCUGGCAAUGCUGCAGCUCUGUUUCAAAGCUGAUUCCUCAUGUCCACCAUCUCUGAUGCGACUCAAAAUACUGAAGCUCCUUUGCACUGUUGGCUUUGAAAGCAAAACCACCAAGGAGGAAUGAUUUGUUCUGCUAAAGCGUGUUGGAAGUGGCAGCUUGGGUGGACCAGCAGCAGGAUAGGUCUGUGUUCUCAGCCUGGCUGAGUGGAUUUGCCUGUCCAUGACUUCUUACUGCCUCAAAACCAUUUGGUUGUUGCUCACUCGAUGGACUCCAGUGGAAUUGGAUUGGGCAAGACCAAUACCUGGAUGUUCAGUUAGCAAGAGGUGCCCCUUCCAGGUACUUGGAUCCCCUGCUCCCUGACAGCCACAGCUCCCAGGAGGCUCAGGAAGCUGCUUCAUCUGCUCCUGGAACUGAAAAUAAGUAAUGGAGGAAGUGAUUGGAAACAUCCUUAGGAGGUGUGUGUCUGUUGGACAGCUGAUUCCAGUGCCAUCCAGGUGGGAAGAGGGCUGCAGUCAGACACUAGUCCGUGGUUCUGCUUCCAGGAAGUGCUUAUGGGACUGGAUGUUGCCCCCUGGGAUGCACAGAGGGAUGUACAGUCUGUCCCUGCAUUGGCCUCCAGGAGCCAGGUGAUUCUCACCAACGUCACUGCUCCCGUGCCAGGGCCGCCGCGCUCCCCUCCCUGCGAAAGGAAUCGGGAGAGGCAGGUUGGGAACAUCGACCCCGUCGAGGUUUGGCUCUGAAAUCCCCGCUGGCUCCUGUGAUUUAUCACUCACCCAGCUGCUGCUCUCAGCUUGGAAAAGAGAAGCGAGGAGGGAAAAAAUAUGGAUUUUUAAAAGCUUGGCUUUAAAGCCCAGGGGCUCAGGCCAAAGCUCCUGUCCUGGCUGAGGGAACGGGGUGGGAACCACGUUGCUGGUCACAACUGGGAUAAAACAGCCACCCACGUCAGGCUGUGGCCAAGCAGGGAUUCUGCUGCCUACUCGACCUUGGCACACAGGUCUUUUGAGGUAUGACGUGAGGAAAAACAGUGUUUGGGUACCAGUUUAUUCCCCAGGCACCUUGUUUGCCCCAAACUUCUGCCACCACGGUUUCCACUUUGGAAUCACCAAGCCAUCGUCUCUCCGGCCACGCGGGGGGAUACCCAGGGGGAUUUUAACUCCCCUCCUUUUAAACCAACCACUCUGCAAAUUCCUCUCCAAAUCUCUCACUUUCUGCCUCCAAGGUUUGGGGUUUUUUUUUUAUUUCACCUUUCCAGCCAUCACCAUCAGCAAUUUCUCGCCCAGCAAAAAAACUCCAACCUCCACACGAGAGUCUUCCCGACGUUCCCUGCAAACCACAGCAGCAGUUUCUGUCUCGGCUGCUACAAUCCCACGGAUGGUAACACCACUCCAGGCAAAGUUUUGGCUUUAAAAGCCUUCAUGAUGAUACUUUGCAGGGAGUUAUUUGGCUUGUACCUUUGUGUUUCCAUCUCCCUCCGCUGAUCUUGCUGUAACAACCCCCCCAAACCUGCUGCUUGUCAGGUCUUGUUUUAGCUACAACCCUCCUCCUCCCCCUGCUUUUAAUGUGACAUCCCAGCACCCGGCCUGUCACUUGGCUAUUGCCUCUAUCACACACUCAUACAUACGAGCCUCAGGUCUAAUUAAUGUAAUAAAAUGUGUAAAAGCAGUAAAUCUGCUCAGAUGUGGCAAUUUUAUCACUUCUAUACGCUGUCACAGCACAAGUAAAACUGACAGCAAAGAAUAAAACAGUUAUGUCUCUGGCAUUUUUUACUACUUUUAAUAUGCUCUCUUUUUUUUUUCCUCUUUGUUACUGGAAAUUUAAAUUAUAAUGGUAUGCUUCACUUAAAGAAAGUAUCCAUAGCAACAGGAACAUCUAAAUUAUUGCAGGCUGAUCACUUCUCUCCUGGAGUCACAUCACAUGCCUUUCAAAGACAGUCCCAGAGGUGCGGGAUUUUAAUAGAAUUUUUUUUUUAACCUUUUUUGCAAACAAACAAGCGUAUACACAGCACUUUCCCCAUCAAUACACUACCUACAGACAAAUCUAAACCGAGAGUCACUGCCAGCACAUUUGGCUGCCCAGAGAGGGGAGUUUCAGGCUUGCUCUUUCUGAGUCCGUGCCUCCUGGUCAUCCCAUGUGAAACAAGAAUUUCCAUGGAGUUCAGCUGA